RNAcentral lists this transfer RNA (74 nucleotides) under Candidatus Omnitrophota bacterium. RNAcentral describes it as "tRNA-Ile". It matches the Rfam family "tRNA". From Rfam's summary of the family: Transfer RNA (tRNA) molecules are approximately 80 nucleotides in length. Their secondary structure includes four short double-helical elements and three loops (D, anti-codon, and T loops). Lineage: Bacteria; Pseudomonadati; Candidatus Omnitrophota. RNAcentral also lists the same sequence under 1 other name. The record is from RNAcentral.
GGGCCCAUAACUCAGUCGGUUAGAGUAGUUGACUCAUAAUCAAUUAGUCCGGGGUUCGAGUCCCUGUGGGCCCA